This 600-nucleotide ribosomal RNA is filed under the name Kocuria sp. RNAcentral describes it as "bacterial SSU rRNA". It matches the Rfam family "Bacterial small subunit ribosomal RNA", at positions 210 to 822 of the family's 1533-position model. The record is from RNAcentral. Lineage: Bacteria; Bacillati; Actinomycetota; Actinomycetes; Micrococcales; Micrococcaceae.
UUGUACUGGUUGUGGAUGGGCUCACGGCCUAUCAGCUUGUUGGUGGGGUAAUGGCCUACCAAGGCGACGACGGGUAGCCGGCCUGAGAGGGUGACCGGCCACACUGGGACUGAGACACGGCCCAGACUCCUACGGGAGGCAGCAGUGGGGAAUAUUGCACAAUGGGCGCAAGCCUGAUGCAGCGACGCCGCGUGAGGGAUGACGGCCUUCGGGUUGUAAACCUCUUUCAGCACGGAAGAAGCGAAAGUGACGGUACGUGCAGAAGAAGCGCCGGCUAACUACGUGCCAGCAGCCGCGGUAAUACGUAGGGCGCAAGCGUUGUCCGGAAUUAUUGGGCGUAAAGAGCUCGUAGGCGGUUUGUCGCGUCUGCUGUGAAAGCCCGGGGCUUAACCCCGGGUGUGCAGUGGGUACGGGCAGACUUGAGUGCAGUAGGGGAGACUGGAACUCCUGGUGUAGCGGUGAAAUGCGCAGAUAUCAGGAAGAACACCGAUGGCGAAGGCAGGUCUCUGGGCUGUUACUGACGCUGAGGAGCGAAAGCAUGGGGAGCGAACAGGAUUAGAUACCCUGGUAGUCCAUGCCGUAAACGUUGGGCACUAGGUG